RNAcentral lists this ribosomal RNA (404 nucleotides) under Actinomycetes bacterium. RNAcentral describes it as "Actinobacteria bacterium partial 16S ribosomal RNA". It matches the Rfam family "Bacterial small subunit ribosomal RNA", at positions 355 to 776 of the family's 1533-position model. Lineage: Bacteria; Bacillati; Actinomycetota; Actinomycetes. The record is from RNAcentral.
UGGGGAAUAUUGGACAAUGGGCGCAAGCCUGAUCCAGCCAUGCCGCGUGAGUGAUGAAGGCCCUAGGGUUGUAAAGCUCUUUCACCGGUGAAGAUAAUGACGGUAACCGGAGAAGAAGCCCCGGCUAACUUCGUGCCAGCAGCCGCGGUAAUACGAAGGGGGCUAGCGUUGUUCGGAUUUACUGGGCGUAAAGCGCACGUAGGCGGACUAUUAAGUCAGGGGUGAAAUCCCGGGGCUCAACCCCGGAACUGCCUUUGAUACUGGUAGUCUUGAGUUCGAGAGAGGUGAGUGGAAUUCCGAGUGUAGAGGUGAAAUUCGUAGAUAUUCGGAGGAACACCAGUGGCGAAGGCGGCUCACUGGCUCGAUACUGACGCUGUGGUGCGAAAGCGUGGGGAGCAAACAGG